GCGGGUGUAGUUCAAUGGUAGAACAUCAGCUUCCCAAGCUGAGAACGGGGGUUCGAUUCCCCUCACCCGCUCCG
RNAcentral lists this transfer RNA (74 nucleotides) under Actinomyces sp. RNAcentral describes it as "tRNA-Gly". It matches the Rfam family "tRNA". From Rfam's summary of the family: Transfer RNA (tRNA) molecules are approximately 80 nucleotides in length. Lineage: Bacteria; Bacillati; Actinomycetota; Actinomycetes; Actinomycetales; Actinomycetaceae. The record is from RNAcentral.